GAUGAACGCUGGCGGCGUGCCUAAUACAUGCAAGUCGAGCGAACAGAUAAGGAGCUUGCUCCUUUGACGUUAGCGGCGGACGGGUGAGUAACACGUGGGUAACCUACCUAUAAGACUGGAAUAACUCCGGGAAACCGGGGCUAAUGCCGGAUAACAUUUAGAACCGCAUGGUUCUAAAGUGAAAGAUGGUUUUGCUAUCACUUAUAGAUGGACCCGCGCCGUAUUAGCUAGUUGGUAAGGUAACGGCUUACCAAGGCAACGAUCCGUAGCCGACCGGAGAGGGUGAUCGGCCACACUGGAACUGAGACACGGUCCAGACUCCUACGGGAGGCAGCAGUAGGGAAUCUUCCGCAAUGGGCGAAAGCCUGACGGAGCAACGCCGCGUGAGUGAUGAAGGUCUUCGGAUCGUAAAACUCUGUUAUUAGGGAAGAACAAAUGUGUAAGUAACUGUGCACGUCUUGACGGUACCUAAUCAGAAAGCCACGGCUAACUACGUG
This 497-nucleotide ribosomal RNA is filed under the name uncultured bacterium. Its description in RNAcentral is "partial 16S ribosomal RNA". It matches the Rfam family "Bacterial small subunit ribosomal RNA", at positions 28 to 507 of the family's 1533-position model. The record is from RNAcentral.